UGAAUACGAGACGCUAAGGCGUUGAAGUAGUGUAUGUCAUACUUCCAAGAAAAGCUUGCACUGUCAUAGAUAAAAAACGCCUGUACCAUAACCGACACAGGUGGGUAGGUAGAGUAUACUAAGGGGCGCGAGAUAACUCUCUCUAAGGAACUCGGCAAAAUAACUCCGUAACUUCGGGAGAAGGAGUGCCUUAUUUAUAAGGCUGCAAUAACAAGAUCCAAGCAACUGUUUAUCAAAAACACAGGUCUCCGCUAAGUCGUAAGACGAUGUAUGGGGGCUGACGCCUGCCCAGUGCCAGAAGGUUAAAGAAGUUGGUUAGCAAUAGCGAAGCUGAUAACUGAAGCCCUGGUGAACGGCGGCCGUAACAAUAACGGUCCUAAGGUAGCGAAAUUCCUUGUCGGGUAAGUUCCGACCCGCACGAAAGGCGUAAUGAUUUGGAUACUGUCUCGGAGAGGGGCUCGGUGAAAUAGACUUGUCUGUGAAGAUGCGGACUACCUGCACCAGGACAGAAAGACCCUAUGAAGCUUUACUGUAACUUGAAAUUGAAAUUGGACUUUAUUCGCGCAGUAUAGGUGGGAGGCGUUGAUUGUAAUCUUGCGGGAUUAUUGGAGCCAUCAGUGAGAUACCACCCUUGUAAUGUUAGAUUUCUAACUUUGAAUCAUUAUCUGGUCAAAGAACAGUUUCAGGCGGGCAGUUUGACUGGGCGGUCGCCUCCUAAACGGUAACGGAGGCGUACAAAGGUUUCCUCUGAACGGUUAGAAAUCGUAUCUAGAGUGUAAAGGCAUAAGGAAGCUUGACUGUGAGACCUACAAGUCGAGCAGGGACGAAAGUCGGUCUUAGUGAUCUGACGGUACUGAGUGGAAAGGCCGUCACUCAACGGAUAAAAGUUACUCUAGGAUAACAGGCUGAUCUCCCCCAAGAGUUCUCAUCGACGGGGAGGUUUGGCACCUCGAUGUCGGCUCAUCGCAUCCUGGGGCGGUAGUACGUCCCAAGGGUUGGGCUGUUCGCCCAUGAAAGCGGUACGCGAGCUGGGUUCAGAACGUCGUGAGACAGUUCGGUCCAUAUCCGGUGUAGGCGUUAGAAUAUUGAGAGGAGCCUUCUUUAGUACGAGAGGACCGAGAAGGACAUACCUCUGGUGUACCAGUUAUCGUGCCAACGGUAAACGCUGGGUAGCUAUGUAUGGAGUGGAUAACCGCUGAAAGCAUCUAAGUGGGAAGCCCACCUCAAGAUAAGUA
RNAcentral lists this ribosomal RNA (1235 nucleotides) under metagenome. Its description in RNAcentral is "bacterial LSU rRNA". It matches the Rfam family "Bacterial large subunit ribosomal RNA", at positions 1564 to 2810 of the family's 2925-position model. The record is from RNAcentral.